UCAGGAAAUGACAUAGGAAAUCUUUCAAGGUACAGGCUUUUCCAAAAUGUGAGGCAUAUGGAAAAUUCAGGCAACACCCUGUUACUUAUUCAUCACUUAAGCCAUGUUUUGGCUCAGAAGAUACCAAGCAAAGCUGAAUAUUACUGUAUUUCAGAAAGGGGAGUAUUUCUUCAGUGCUCAUCUUGGGGGUCUUCAUAAAAAAUGAUUGACAGCUGACAGCUAAUGUCUAUUUUCACUUCAUUGCCUUAUGGGAAGAGAUAACCAUGAGCA
This 270-nucleotide long non-coding RNA is filed under the name Homo sapiens (human). Its description in RNAcentral is "HSALNT0191744". The record is from RNAcentral. Lineage: Eukaryota; Metazoa; Chordata; Mammalia; Primates; Hominidae.